UAGCUUUACACUUGGGGGGUGUACUUGUGUCGGGUUUGGCCCAAUGUGCUACCCAACCCAAUCAAAUUCCACCAGUUCAAAUAAGCAACAAAUCCAUAAUUUUUCUAUCAAACUCAAACCAAUCCAAACAAUUAUGAGUAAGAUAGUUCAGAUGGGUCAUCAAGUCAUAAGAAAUUAUAUAUAAAAUGCUAAAAAAACUAUUUAUAUAAUUUGAUAAC
RNAcentral lists this long non-coding RNA (218 nucleotides) under Trifolium pratense (red clover). RNAcentral describes it as "long non-coding RNA (TPRA_LNC009778)". Lineage: Eukaryota; Viridiplantae; Streptophyta; Magnoliopsida; Fabales; Fabaceae. The record is from RNAcentral.